Molecule: ribosomal RNA, 865 nt
Filed under: uncultured bacterium
Lineage: Bacteria
Description: bacterial SSU rRNA
Rfam family: Bacterial small subunit ribosomal RNA
Source: RNAcentral
GGCUCAGAAUCAACGCUGGCGGCGUGCCUAACACAUGCAAGUCGAACGAGAAAGUCCCGCAAGGGAUGAGUAGAGUGGCGCACGGGUGAGUAACACGUGGAUAACCUGCCUUAAAGGGGGGGAUAACAUCUCGAAAGGGGUGCUAAUACCGCAUAAGACCUGGCUUGAGAUAGCGGGGUUAAAAGGGGCAAUUCGCUUUAAGAGGGGUCCGCGGCUGAUUAGCUAGUUGGUAAGGUAACGGCUUACCAAGGCGACGAUCAGUAGCCGUCCUGAGAGGGAGCACGGCCACACUGGAACUGAGACACGGUCCAGACUCCUACGGGAGGCAGCAGUGGGGAAUUUUUGGCAAUGGGCGCAAGCCUGACCAAGCAACGCCGCGUGGGUGAUGAAGUAUCUUGGUACGUAAAACCCUUUCGGCAGGGACGAAACAAAUGACGGUACCUGCAGAAGAAGCUCCGGCUAACUCCGUGCCAGCAGCCGCGGUAAUACGGGGGGAGCAAGCGUUGUUCGGAAUUACUGGGCGUAAAGGGCGCGCAGGCGGUUGGAUAAGUAGGUGGUGAAAACCUUGGGCUUAACUCAGGGCCUGCCAUCUAAACUGUCUGGCUAGAGUGUGGGAGAGGGAAGUGGAAUUCCAGGUGUAGCGGUGAAAUGCGUAGAUAUCUGGAGGAACACCGGUGGCGAAGGCGGCUUCCUGGACCACAACUGACGCUGAGGCGCGAAAGCUAGGGGAGCAAACAGGAUUAGAUACCCUGGUAGUCCUAGCUGUAAACGAUGGAUACUUGCUGUGGGGGGGGUUAAAGCCUCCGUGGCGGAGCUAACGCAUUAAGUAUCCCGCCUGGGGAGUACGGUCGCAAGUCUGAAACUC